Molecule: non-coding RNA, 918 nt
Organism: Lolium perenne
Lineage: Eukaryota; Viridiplantae; Streptophyta; Magnoliopsida; Poales; Poaceae
Source: RefSeq, a predicted model, not a curated record
UUAUUUCUGUACUGCACUGCAUAAUUGCUAGACGACUUAUCUAGUGCUUGGCCGUUAGUGCCCGCCUAGACGCCUACGCAACCUCUGGGUCCGUCUCGGAGUACGGCCGAACUUCGUCAUGGGUAGCUUAGUUGGGUGGCCCCCCUAGACUUUCUUGUUGAACUGGGAACGGUCUUGUUGUGAGACAUCGCCUGUAAGAAGCGGGUCGAGCAUGCGUAUGGUUACAUUUGGGCAACCCCUGCAGGGUGUACAUCUUAUCGAUAAGCCGUGUCCGCGGUUAUGGACGACUUGGAAUUGUAUAGCUUGAUCAUAGAACAACUUACACCGUUAUCUUGUUGCUAAUAAUCUGCUAAUAACUUGCGUAGUAAUAUAACAUUACUACAACUGAUACCUAAUAAAAAUUGUCCACCGUUGAAUGCCUUUUACAUUGCCUCUUCGCUUUGUUGAAGGGGAUAUGUGUAAUCGGCUGGGUUAUGUUUGUGUAGUAUUUAUCUAUUACCUUAUGCGCUCUCUUAUCUUAUCUGAGUAGACGGAUGUUGUAGCGUGUCUCUAUUGGUUAUAGUUUUGCCGCCGCUAAACCUACCAUAUAGCCCCAGGCGAUAUAUAUUUAUACUUGCCCGGCGAGCAUAGCCAUUUCUAGUCUCGCUAAGUACGUGCCGGAGUUCGUUCCUUGGUACUUACUCUCGCCUUUUCCCUUUCUCUUUUGCUUCCUCCCUUUUGUCGGCAACCGAUGGCCCAACUUUGACAGGUACAAGAUGACGACGUUAGCAAGGUUACCCUUCCGGCUUGGCCUGGGCAGGGUUAUGGACGCCACUGGUUAUCUUCAGGACUCUUAGUCCAAUUUGUAUCUUGUCCGUACUCGGACGUAUUCGAUCUUCUGUAUGAAUUGGAUCUUUGUAUUGUAUAUUUGUAUCUUGA